UACGGGGGGGGCAAGCGUUGUUCGGAAUUACUGGGCGUAAAGGGCGCGUAGGCGGCCUGCUAAGUCGGACGUGAAAUCCCUCGGCUCAACCGGGGAACUGCGUCCGAUACUGGCGAGGCUUGAAUCCGGGAGAGGGAUGUGGAAUUCCAGGUGUAGCGGUGAAAUGCGUAGAUAUCUGGAGGAACAUCAGUGGCGAAGGCGACUUUCUGGUCUGUAACUGACACUGAGGCGCGAAAGCGUGGGGAGCGAACAGG
This 254-nucleotide ribosomal RNA is filed under the name uncultured bacterium. Its description in RNAcentral is "partial 16S ribosomal RNA". It matches the Rfam family "Bacterial small subunit ribosomal RNA", at positions 524 to 776 of the family's 1533-position model. The record is from RNAcentral.